UAAGUGUGAAGCCCACCCCAAGAUAAGAUAUCUCAUCUGUAAAAAGAGUAAGACCUCCGGUAGACCACCGGUUAGAUAGGCCACGUGUGUAAGUGCAGCAAUGCAUUCAGCUAAGUGGUACUAAUUGGUCGAGGGCUUGACU
Molecule: ribosomal RNA, 142 nt
Filed under: Dehalococcoidia bacterium
Lineage: Bacteria; Bacillati; Chloroflexota; Dehalococcoidia
Description: partial 23S ribosomal RNA
Rfam family: Bacterial large subunit ribosomal RNA
Source: RNAcentral